RNAcentral lists this long non-coding RNA (375 nucleotides) under Brassica napus (rape). RNAcentral describes it as "long non-coding RNA (BNAP_LNC002739)". The record is from RNAcentral. Lineage: Eukaryota; Viridiplantae; Streptophyta; Magnoliopsida; Brassicales; Brassicaceae.
AAGACACAAAAAUCCAUGAAAUUGCCUAUCGUUUCUUACUUUCACAGGAGGGGUAUCGAGGUUUUCCUUGACCAGUUUAGGUUUUGGCAAAACGUACGUUAGCUCCAACUCGUGUUCUGCGAAAUCAACUUCAUAAUCCUCAUAUAUGGUUUUCACAAAAUCUUCAUAUCUAGUUUCCUCGUUAGCUGCAAGUAAUUUACUACCUUGAUCAUUAUCCACUUCAAAUAACCAUUUUUUUCUUUCAAAUUUCCACUUUCCACAAACCAGAAUGAUGUGAUCCAUGUUUCUCCAACCAAUAAGGAUUGCAACAAGUGUUUAAAAUAGAAUGAAAAGAAACAACUUGAAAAGGAAGAGAAGAGGGAUGAAAGAGAUGAC